RNAcentral lists this ribosomal RNA (250 nucleotides) under uncultured prokaryote. RNAcentral's name for it is "partial 16S ribosomal RNA". It matches the Rfam family "Bacterial small subunit ribosomal RNA", at positions 524 to 773 of the family's 1533-position model. The record is from RNAcentral.
UACGAAGGGGGCUAGCGUUGUUCGGAAUUACUGGGCGUAAAGCGCACGUAGGCGGACCAUUAAGUCAGGGGUGAAAUCCCAGAGCUCAACUCCGGAACUGCCUUUGAUACUGGUGGUCUAGAGACCGAGAGAGGUAAGUGGAACUCCUAGUGUAGAGGUGGAACUCGUAGAUAUUAGGAAGAACACCAGUGGCGAAGGCGGCUUACUGGCUCGGAACUGACGCUGAGGUGCGAAAGCGUGGGGAGCAAAC